GGGGGCGUAAAGGUUUCGACGGGGAUUGCGAACCUGAGUAAGCGAGCAGCGGUGCGGGCCCGCUAUAAAAACCGCAAAUCAAAAAAUAAACGGCAACGAACCUGUUGCGUACGCAGCCUGAUUAGGCUGCCGUCCUUACCCGGAGUACCGCGGCCGGGAUAAGGGCGUCGACUAGCGGUGAACGUGAAUAAAGGGGAGCCGUACCCUUUAUCACGAACUAAACGGCUACCGUAACCGGAUGUCUGUCUGUCGGCGUCAGGUGAGGGGAAUCUAAAACGACAGACUGCGCUCGGAGAAGCCUCAGGCAAGCGGUUUUCGGACGGGGGUUCAACUCCCCCCGCCUCCACCA
This 349-nucleotide transfer-messenger RNA is filed under the name Clostridiales bacterium. It matches the Rfam family "transfer-messenger RNA". Rfam says of the family: Bacterial tmRNA, also known as 10Sa RNA or SsrA, is named for its dual tRNA and mRNA-like properties. Its role is to liberate the mRNA from a stalled ribosome. To accomplish this part of the tmRNA is used as a reading frame that ends in a translation stop signal. RNAcentral also lists the same sequence under 2 other names. Lineage: Bacteria; Bacillati; Bacillota; Clostridia; Eubacteriales. The record is from RNAcentral.